AGCCUACGGGCGGCUGCAGUUGGGAAUAUUGGACAAUGGAGGGAACUCUGAUCCAGUGACGCCGCGUGAAGGAAGAAGGUCUUCGGAUUGUAAACUUAUUUUAUCAGGGAAGAAAAAAAUGACAGUACCUGAAGAAGAAGCACCGGCAAACUACGUGCCAGCAGCCGCGGUAAUACGUAGGGUGCAAGCGUUAUCCGGAUUUACUGGGUGUAAAGGGCGAGUAGACGGCCAAACAAGUCAGAUGUGAAAACUUAGGGCUCAACCUUAAGACUGCAUCUGAAACUGUAGGGCUAGAGUGCAGGAGAGGAAAGUGGAAUUUCUAGUGUAGCGGUGAAAUGCGUAGAUAUUAGGAGGAACACCAGUGGCGAAGGCGACUUUCUGGACUGUAACUGACGUUGAGGCGCGAAAGUGUGGGGAGCAAACAGGAUUAGAUACCCUAGUAGUC
RNAcentral lists this ribosomal RNA (445 nucleotides) under uncultured Eubacteriales bacterium. RNAcentral's name for it is "bacterial SSU rRNA". It matches the Rfam family "Bacterial small subunit ribosomal RNA", at positions 335 to 795 of the family's 1533-position model. The record is from RNAcentral. Lineage: Bacteria; Bacillati; Bacillota; Clostridia; Eubacteriales.